Molecule: ribosomal RNA, 206 nt
Filed under: uncultured bacterium
Lineage: Bacteria
Description: partial 16S ribosomal RNA
Rfam family: Bacterial small subunit ribosomal RNA
Source: RNAcentral
CACGUAGGCGGAUCUUUAAGUCAGGGGUGAAAUCCCGAGGCUCAACCUCGGAACUGCCUUUGAUACUGGAGAUCUCGAGUUCGGGAGAGGUGAGUGGAACUGCGAGUGUAGAGGUGAAAUUCGUAGAUAUUCGCAAGAACACCAGUGGCGAAGGCGGCUCACUGGCCCGAUACUGACGCUGAGGUGCGAAAGCGUGGGAGCAAACA